Long non-coding RNA from Carya illinoinensis, 1761 nucleotides. RefSeq lists it as uncharacterized. The record is from RefSeq and is a predicted model, not a curated record. The transcript has 2 exons. NCBI's taxonomy places the organism in Eukaryota, Viridiplantae, Streptophyta, Magnoliopsida, Fagales, Juglandaceae.
UUAUCAUUUCCAACAUAUUUCAAUACCUCUCACCCCCAAACCCAACCCAUUCUUCAUUAAUUGAGUCAUUUGGGAAGGUGGGAAGGAAAAUACCAGGCAUUUUCGGUACAACUUCUUUCUUUUCCGAACCACCUAUUCCGCAAAUUUCCUGUGGUUCCUCUUUCCUCUCUACUCUCAUACGAAUGGAUGUCCAAAAACUGCAAUAUCUUUAUUCCAUUCACUAUGUAUAUAUAGUGUGCUUAACAAGAGAGGUGAAGGAUAUACGGGGAUGAUGGUUGAGAGAGGUGAAGGAGAAAGAGCGAAGGGGAAAGUGAGUUAUGGAAUUCCUUCGGAGUGGGAGGGCAGGAAAGAAAAUAAAACUGUUGGUCAGAAACACGGUUUUUCUUUCCUAGUCCUCCCAUUCCAUUGGUUUCCUGCUAUUCCUCCCUUUCGCUUACUUUUCCUGCUUGGGGUUCAUGGGUUCAGUGACUUCAGUCUAGACCGCAAUAAUUGAUAGAGGUUGGGUGGCUGUAAAUCAAGUGAUAAAACAAGGCUAAUUUGUAUAGUUUAUUUAGGCCCACACAGCUAGGAAGGCAUAUGUUAGGUUGAGAGAGGAUAAACUUUGAAUGUGAUUCUCAUCUUCACAAGCAAUCCAAUUUCACGACAACGAGAGGGAGAGUGCAUGGCCUACCAUGACGUACGGCGCGCAGGAUCGAUGGGAACUAGAUAAUCAUAUUUAUAUAAUUAUAUAUUUUAAAAUUUAGUAUAAAGUGUAUAUAUAUAUUAAAAUUAUUCGCAUAACCAUCAUUCAUUUUAAAAACAUAAACUUAUAAAAAAUUCAAUUAGCCUGCAACGCAUCCCCAUUUGAGAAUAUUCCACUUAGCGAGGGUUGUCCCAAUCAAUAAUUGUAUUAUUUUAACAUCAAUCAGUCAAUUUGUGCAAUUUUCUUUCUUGGAACGGUAGAUCAAUGGGUAUGUUAUGUUAGUUAUCUCUUUGUAGUAACAGAGAAGAGGGUGGAUGAGUUGUUGGUUUUAAUCUUUAUGAAAAGAGUUUUACUAUAUACAAGCAAAGUCGUGUACUAAUAUGCGUAUCAAUACUGAUUUUUUCAUACUUAAAAUUUAAAUUAGUACUGUUUCAAUAAAAUUUACUUUUUGAUCAAUUACAAUAGAUUAGUGUACAUAUUAAUAUAUAAUUAUGUUUGUAAUUAGAUUUUUUUUUAUAAAAAUGCAUAAUGUCAUCUAUUAUAGAGAAUAAAAAGUCGUUGAUAUGGUUGUCAUGUAUGGAAUGCAAAUAUAUAUAUAUAAUAUUGAAAAUUGAGAAAUGCAUGUCCUACUUAAUAAGAAUGUUACCAGAUUGUAAAAGCACUAGAAAAUUGAAAAUUAAAAGCAAAAGACAGAAAAAAGUAUCUAGUUUUUUUAAUGAAUAAAUCUUCAAGGGAUGAAGAUGGUAAAAGAUAAAUGGAAGACAUGAGUGAAUCUGGAUGAUCCUUUGUUAUAUCAUGCAAUGGUUGAAGCGAACCUAUGCCUAUGAGUUAGCGUUUGUGUAAUGAACGGCAAGCAAGCCUACAAGGCAGUAAAAGCUGGUGGCCGCGGCUGCAGAGAAAAGCCUUUCGCAAAAUCUCAGAACUAAAGCCCAUGAAAAUGAAAUGAUGGCCGAUCGAAUAAGCUAUACUAAUUUUUUUUUUUUUAAUCAGAUACCUCAUAUACUCAUUCAUCAUUAACAGAGUUACAUAGUUUGUCUAUUUGGAUAUAUGGUUUUAACCAGUCUGGACUAUUCUCUAUC